RNAcentral lists this ribosomal RNA (361 nucleotides) under uncultured Streptococcus sp. RNAcentral describes it as "bacterial SSU rRNA". It matches the Rfam family "Bacterial small subunit ribosomal RNA", at positions 1020 to 1382 of the family's 1533-position model. The record is from RNAcentral. Lineage: Bacteria; Bacillati; Bacillota; Bacilli; Lactobacillales; Streptococcaceae.
UCGGUACAUCGGUGACAGGUGGUGCAUGGUUGUCGUCAGCUCGUGUCGUGAGAUGUUGGGUUAAGUCCCGCAACGAGCGCAACCCCUAUUGUUAGUUGCCAUCAUUCAGUUGGGCACUCUAGCGAGACUGCCGGUAAUAAACCGGAGGAAGGUGGGGAUGACGUCAAAUCAUCAUGCCCCUUAUGACCUGGGCUACACACGUGCUACAAUGGUUGGUACAACGAGUUGCGAGUCGGUGACGGCGAGCUAAUCUCUUAAAGCCAAUCUCAGUUCGGAUUGUAGGCUGCAACUCGCCUACAUGAAGUCGGAAUCGCUAGUAAUCGCGGAUCAGCACGCCGCGGUGAAUACGUUCCCGGGCCUU